CAGAAAGGUCGCUGGGCGGGGACACCAAGGCCUUCGGAAGGCUCUGGUUCUGCUGCUCACUGCCUGUGUGACCUGAAGAAAACCAUGUGCCCUCCCUGGCCACAGGUGACAAUAGGAGGCGCGGUGAGAAGAGCCUGCAGGCUCCCAGCCUUCGCAUGGCUCGCCUCCCUCCCAGCAGCUCAGUGACGGGCUUGGGGGAGGCCCCAUGGAAUUCAGCAGCCGUGAGGCGCUUUCUCUCGGGAGUCGCAAAGCCUUUCGCAAAACCAGAGAUGGGUGUUUCCUACCUGCCAAGGAGAGAGGAGCAUCGUGGAGCCGAGGACCUCUGUCCCCCUGUCCCCUGGGGUCAGGGGGCUGGGAAGCAUCCUUGCUGUCCACCGGCUGCACAUGCAGCAUAGGUAAGUUCCCAGGCUAGGGGUCUAAUUGGAGCUGCGCCGCCAUCCUGCACCACAGCCACAGCAACUGGGGAUCCGAACUGCAACUAUGACCAACACCACAUCUCACGGCAAUGCUGGAUCCUUAACCCACUGUACUGGGCACAGAACCUGCAGCCCAGUGCCCCCCAAGAGGCUGCUGAUCCCCUCGUGCCACAGAGGGAGCUUCAGAGUCACCCUUUAUGCAUGAUCCAGUGCCUGGUUCUCCCUGGAAGGAAGCUGGAGUCCCGGUGUGAGCAGGUGUGGAGGCAGAGGCUGUGGUGAUGCAGCUGAUGGCAGGAUCUGGCUCCAAGGCUGGGCCCCGGCUGAUCUGACGCCCUGAGAAGCCCUUGGGAGGUUGGAGGCAUAUCGACAGACGCUUUAUCAUUUUGAGCAUUAAAAACUUAGAUUUGUUAUAUAUGAAAUAUUCAUAAGUUGGCCCAGUUUCACAUUUUAUUGAUUGAUGCUGAGAAAUCCGCGUUUCAGCAACACGAGUCAUGGCUACCAGAAGAAGACCUUGUUAGGGAAUUGGCUUUGCUGGGGUCUCAGACCGCAGCUCCCCUCACAUCAGAGAGCAUCUCAUCUUCACCGGCUCCGAGAGCAAAGGCCGGUCCUCAUGCCCCACCAGGGCCGAGCCGCCUCCCCGCGGGGGGAGCUUGGUGCAGGAACACCCCGUGGAGCAGAGGCCCCGGUGUUGGGUCCAGGCCCCCAGGCCAGUCCUCAGCCCUGCUGCCCCAUCAGAGCGGCGAGGCUGAGCCCACGCACUGGAGCUGCUGGACCGUUCCCGGUGGCCCCAGAGGAGGCGCCGAGGUUCCCCAUCUUCGCGAGAGGACGUGGAGCCCUGAGUCGCUCAGUCAACGAGCGAAUACGCGUCCUCUGCCUGAAACUGCCAAGGGCUUUGUCCCCAGCCAGCCUCGGCACCAGGCUCCUCAAAGGAAACAUCAUGCCUCCAGCCCAGUGUUAAGAUGGAACGAAUGAAACCUACAGUCUGACCGGUCCAGGAGCCCUUGGAAUAUCUCAUUCUACAGACACAAUCCCCCAUGAGCAAUCUGGGUGCCUUUCUCCCCUGAGCAAUCCAACCAACGGGCACAAAAUCCUCCACUAGGAAUAAGCUGGCCACUACAGAGCAAGAGAAAUUAAUUUUUAAAAAAUUAGCAAACAUUAACUAUGAUCUAACAAGAGGGAUGCCUGAACUCCUCGUUCCACCAUGAGUGUUCCCUGUCUGCUAUUUAGCCUCAGUCGUAUGUUGAAUCCAGUCCCCACGCCCAAAGAUAUGGCCACGCUCUGACCCCAGGAACCUGUGCGGGCGGUCUUAUUUGAAAAAGGGGUCCUCCAGAUGUAAUGAAACUAAGGAUCUUGAGAGCAGCUCAUCCUGGAUUACCUGAGUGGGACAAAGUGAGACAAAGAGGGGAAGGUCCUGUGAAGAUGGAGCCGAGAUUGGAGUGACAGAGCCAUAAGCCGCAUCGUGCCUGCGGCCCCCAGAAGCUGGAGGAGGCAAAGAACCGAACCUCCGUGAGAACCUCUGGAGGGAGGCCAGCCCUGUGGACAUCUUGACUUUGCACUUGGCCCUCCAGGUCUGCGAGAGGCUAGAUUCCCAUUGUUUGAAGCCACCAAGCUGUCGUGAUUUGUUGCAGCAGCCCCAGGAAACGAAUCCAUCACUUUACAUGGGAAGGCUCAUGAUUUCAGGGACUCCCACCUCUGAUUCUAGGAGGGGCCCCCAAGUCCUCCCGGCAGCGCUGGCCGUCCACCGUUGUCCUCCUUCCCUCCCUGUCCCCUGUGUCCCCACAGCUCCUAGGUGGAGAAGUGUUUUACACGGUAGAGGCAUCUUGUGUUGAGCUUACUUACGUUUGGUCUUCGGCCUUUUCCAACAUCUGGGCGUGGCCAGUGUCGUCCCCAGCUCUCCUUGGUCACCAUGACUAGGUAAACUGCUUUAUUGGUACAGAGACCUUGACUGGAGGAGUUUCAGCAUUAAAAAAGAGGCGUUUCUUCUAUAGAUAAAUAGUGCCCAAGGGCCAGAAACACAGUAGACCUUACAAAGGACCAAGAGCAGACGCCGAUAAGCCUCGAUAAGACUCAGACCGCAGCAGUACUUGAUGGCUUAGUUCCCCCAGUGCCCCCUCAGUUCCUCUCUAACCCAGCUCUCCUUGCCUGUCAGCUGAUGGCCACCCACACCCAGAACAUCAGUUCAGCCUCCUGAUCUGCCUUACCUCCAUCCAGGUAAGCAGCUGACAGUGGGUGCCAUUCAUCCCAAUUUCAAAUUCUUGGGAGAGGAGUUCCCUGGUGGCUCAGCGGGUUAAGGAUCUGGUGUUGUCACUGCUGUGGCUCGGGUGCCUGCUCUGGUGAAGGUUUGAUCCUUGAGACCCAAUAGACAAGAUCACGUGGUAUAAGGAUGGCCACUGGGCCCACUGGGGGUGGUGAGAGGGUCUCAGUGAAGGGCCUGGGUUCGUUCCACAUAGCAAAGUAGCCCAAGAGGACCAGACAGUGAAGGCUGCUUCUCUGGAGAAAGGGCAACCCUUGGAAUUCCUGUCGUGGUGCAGCAGAGACAAAUCUGACCGGUAUCCAUGAGGAUGCAGGUUUAACCCCUGGCUUUGCUUAGUGGGUUAAGGAUCUGGCAUUGCCGUGAGUUGUGGUGUAGGUCACAGAUGAGGCUCAGGUCCAGCAUCGCUGUGGCUGCGGUGUAGGCCAGCAGCUACAGCUCCGAUUCAACCCCUAGCCUGGGAAUCUCCACAUGCUGUGAGGUCAGCCUAAAAAGCAUUAAAAAAAAAAAAAGGGUGCAGCCCUUGCAAGAAGGGGCCGUCUCGGGGGUCAUCCUCGUCCUGCAGCUCCGCCCACACAGGUCACCGUGUGGCUCUUCACUCCCCACAACCUUUCUUCUCACUUGUCCCCUAACUGGGUUUACACACGCAUAAUUACUGUUAGACGGGUGACCUUGGGCCUGCUUGGCUCUCUGCAUCCCUGUGUGCCGCCAGCACCCCCAGUCGGGUAGAGCAUCUUUUAGGGAGGGCCUCCUCUCCAUGUUCCCCACCCCACCUCCUUCCCCAUCUUGGGGCCCGGGGACAAACAGGAAAGAUGCAGGGCACUGAGCCCACCACACCCCUCCCUCAUGGAGGGGUCGGGGCUCGUUCUGGGGUGACUUCUGAGUAUUCAUGCCUGGUCACUCACUUUCACUUUCCCUUCAUAUGCCACCAAGGUCAGAACGAAGGUGACUGCCCUGGCUGGGCACUGAUGGCACAUUCCUUGCUGCUGAGGGCCCUUGAAGGAAAAGUAUUCCCGUUUUGUGUAUGGGCGUAGGUGUGUAGCUACUCACAUAGCACCAAAAUCCAACCCCCAGUUUCCAGGGAAGGGUGAGAAGCACAAAUAGCAAACAGGGGGAAAGAGGAACCUUGUGCCCUGGUGGCUCAGGUGGGUCUCUGAUUCCCUCUCAGCCCUCGCCUGCGUCAUGGUCGGCUGCCCCCGGAUAAUGGAAUUUGAAAGUGCCUCCCAAGCGAAGGGCAGAGCAGCACCCUGUUAGGUCUGAAAAAUGAAUAAUGAUGAACCCCAGGCUUAGUCCUGGUUGGAUAAGGAUAAAUAAAAUUAAAAAUUG
This 3993-nucleotide long non-coding RNA is filed under the name Sus scrofa (pig). Its description in RNAcentral is "lncRNA (ENSSSCG00000050646.2)". Lineage: Eukaryota; Metazoa; Chordata; Mammalia; Artiodactyla; Suidae. The record is from RNAcentral.